GUCCUGGUAUCUAUGAUGAGUUUAUUUCAUGUUACAACUCAUUGCUUUCAAGCUGCUGACAAUACAACAUUAUUCUGUUCACAACAUAAAGAAAUAAGAAGAUGUAGUAUGAGUGCCAAUGGUAAGGAGACAACUCUCCAUCCAUGUCUAGGAUUUGUGAAAGUAAACCAUUAUAGGUCAAUGUACAGCCUUCUAUAAGUACAUUAGAAAUAUUUGACAAACAUUUGUUGAAUAAACAAACAUGCAACAAACAGAUGAUCAGACUAUGUGAAUGCAAAAUAACCCUAACUCAACAGUGAAGUUAAAUAAAAUUAAAAUGAAAGAACC
Molecule: long non-coding RNA, 327 nt
Filed under: Mytilus galloprovincialis (Mediterranean mussel)
Lineage: Eukaryota; Metazoa; Mollusca; Bivalvia; Mytilida; Mytilidae
Source: RNAcentral